Long non-coding RNA from Mus musculus (house mouse), 310 nucleotides. RefSeq annotates it as predicted gene, 52716. Lineage: Eukaryota; Metazoa; Chordata; Mammalia; Rodentia; Muridae. The record is from RefSeq and is a predicted model, not a curated record. The transcript has 3 exons.
AGAACUCUCUGCCCAGAGUGGAAGCUGCCAUCGCCAGUCAGCAUACUGAGCGGGAUGAUUCUGUGGCAAGCAAAAGCAGUGCGCUCGCCAUUUGCCCUUGCAGCUUCUGUGAAAUCCAGCCUGCUUUGACACAAACAGGCCUCUGCAGGCCAGUACUGCUUGCAACUCACCACCAGAGUAUGGAACAUUGUCUCAUCUGUUUACAUGAACCCUACCCACUCUCUCAGAAAUCUUCCAAGUGAGAAGUUGAGAAGAUGGAUCAGUGGAUAAAGGUGAUCAGGAUCCUUUUCAUUUAUGCAUGGAAAAGCAA